This is a long non-coding RNA of Parambassis ranga (Indian glassy fish), 1979 nucleotides long. Ensembl lists it as uncharacterized. Lineage: Eukaryota; Metazoa; Chordata; Actinopteri; Ambassidae. The record is from Ensembl.
AUCUUCUACUUUUAACAUCCACACAAGUAGCAGCAUUAUCGAUUAGCAUCACACACAGUUAGCUAAGAGCACCUAGCUAAAGUCUCCUCCUCCUCCUCCUCCUCUUCCUCUUCCUCCCUCCUCCUCCUCCUCCUCCUCUUCCUCCUCCUCCUCUUCCUCUUCCUCCUCCUCCUCCUCCUCCUCCUCUUCCUCCUCCUCCUCCUCCUCUUCCUCUUCCUGACUGUUCAUCUGAAAAUCGCUGAUGUUAUUCAGAGUCGCCCAAAAUGUAAUAAUCGUUGUUUCCAGUAAAAUCAAAUCGCUCUACAGAAGCCCGGAGCGGCCAAACCUCCGACAGGACGUGGAUUAAACCAUUGUACCGGGAAGGGGGGGGGGGGGCGAUCCGAAGAUCAGAGUUUGACCCGCUCACAGUGACAUGUUUAAAAGUUAACACCACGUGCGUGUGUGUGUCUGUGUGUGUCUGUGUGUGAUUGUAAGUGUGGGGACGUUUGUCAGAAAGCUGAUAACAGGACCUGAGUUGGUAUCUUCCACCUGCGGAAGUGGCGGGAAGAGAUUCUCUUCCCGCCACUGAGAGCAACUUAUCCACAGAGGAGCUGCGGAACGGCGUUCACCUCAGAGUGUCUGAGCUGCUGCUUCCUGUCGUCAGUGUUUCAGACAUGUCCGAGAUCUCAGAGGGGCGCUGGAAACAGGCCCUGGGCUCCAUCCUGGAGGAGCUGGAUGAGACUCAGUACAUGAAGCUGCUGAUGCUGAGUAAAAUAAAGCGCUGUUUGAGGGACAAACCCAAAGAGGAGAUGCCUGAAAUCCUCAUCCAGCACUACGGAGUGGAGAAGUCCAUCACUGCAAUCAGGGGCAUCAUGGAGAAGAUUCCACGGAGAGAUGAGGCCGUACAGAGCCAGCUGAAGCCCUUUGUGGACGAACUGAAGGCCAAAAAGAAAAAGGGGUUUAAGAGGAAGAAAGUUGUGAGUGACCCAGAGUCUUCAGAUGAAGAGCAAGAGACUGACUCUGGUGCAGUGGUCCAGCAGCCUCUCCAGGCUGAGAAGCAGUCAGGGAGGAUAACCAUCAAGAAUCUCGAGCACGGCGGGGACCUGGAAAAGAAGAUCGUUACAGUCAAAGUCCUGCAGAAAUCUGGUCUGCGUACGUACAAAACAAAGCAGAAGCAGACAAAGUACUUCUUCUACCUGGGUGUCGCUGAUGAGACGGGCAGCUGUAAGGUGAUGGUCUACGGAAAACAGCGCUAUCAGGACUUUGAGGUGGACCGCUGUUACGGGUUCAGACAAGUCAUCAAAGACGGCGACAUCUUGAAGGUCACAAUAAAAAGCAUAGUGUCAAAAGUGAGCCCCGUCAGCGUCUGCGAUGACCUGAAGCUGGAGGCUCAGAUGAUCAUUCACUCCCAGGUGCCCCUCUGCUCCAUAGCCGAGGCCAAAGGCCACAAGGACGGGACCACAGUGAGCGUAGAAGGAACCAUCACCACCGUCGGUGUCAUGGAAAGUGUCAAAACCAAAUUCAAACGGAGGAAGACGGACAGACUGCAGUUCCAGCUGGCUGACCGAGCCGACUCCAUCUGGAUCACUCUGUGGGGAGACGGCACCAAGCAGCUCACAGGAAAGUCAAGCGGAGAUUCUGUCCGGGUCACAAAUGUCAAGACCAACAAUUUCCACACCACUGUCUCUCUGAAGUCCACAGACUUCACCAGGAUUUUCAAGGUGCAGAGCGCUGCGGCGCAGAGCGUCUCCAUGAAGAUCAUUGGCAUCAUCUCAGCUGGAAAGAUUCACACCGAGCUGGAAUCUGAAAUCAACAGCAUGGUGUUGAACAGCACGAUUGUUUCCACCUACGUUGUGACAUCAUCACUGCUGGCGAAGGUGUUCAGCGUCAAGCUGGGAGGCGACUUUGAGGAGAGACUGUUGGAGAAACUGCCGCUGGAAGCCGAGGCAGAGAUCGAGGGGAACAAGAUCAUUAAGAUCAGAGCGGCCAAGGAGAUGUGA